UGUCUCCAAGACAAAAUAUGUCUUCUUUCUUUUCCACAUUUCAUCCUCCUCCCUCCCUUGUCUCCACGCGUAGCAGACAUGCCUAAGUCUCUCAAGAAAAUUCAGCCACAAGUCCCUCUCCUUGUCUUGCACUAAUUGGCUGACACCUAUCUCCUUCCUCUUAUAUAAAUCAAGCCAAGCACCUCUCUUCCUCAUCUCUUCAAGCAAUCAGUGACCCUACAGAAAGAAAGACCGAAAGAGGGAGACCGAGAGAGCCGAUGGGUGAGCCACCGGUUGGGGCGGACAAGAACGUAGGGCCGAUAGGCCACGACUUGGCCCCGGUGAAGCCACGGGGAGCCCGAUUUCCGAUGUUUUUCUUCAGUACCCAAACUAAGAGCAAACCGUUUUAGGAUGCAGUAAGCCAGAGUCACUUUUUGGUAAUGGCAUGGACCUCGCUAAGAGUAAUAGAUCGUUAGGGGACUAAUGUAACCUUUGUACUAUACAGUAUGUCUCCCUUUUGGAAUUUAGAGCAUUGUACAGAGCUACUCUUAUGUGCAUGUAAAUAAAAUAGAUGGUUAAGAUCUAUAUCUAUUAGAAGUGUGAUUUAUGUAAAUGUAUUUUUAGGCUCAAGUUUGCAUUCCCCUUAUAUCCGAAAACGGGGGCGUGACACGGAUAGUCCAUAUUUUUAUACAGACAUUUUGUACAUGGCUUGUGUCGCAUGUGACACUUAUUUUGUAUAGUCAUUCUUGAUGUAAAUAAUAUUUGAUUUAAGCCUUAAACAGAUAGACAGAUAUAUGGCUCUGAUGUUGUAUUUACACUUUUGAGUUAAUGAAUUUAGUUCCACUGCUAUAA
Alnus glutinosa is the source of this 831-nucleotide long non-coding RNA. RefSeq lists it as uncharacterized. The record is from RefSeq and is a predicted model, not a curated record. The transcript is spliced from 2 exons. Lineage: Eukaryota; Viridiplantae; Streptophyta; Magnoliopsida; Fagales; Betulaceae.